RNAcentral lists this ribosomal RNA (457 nucleotides) under uncultured Desulfobacca sp. Its description in RNAcentral is "bacterial SSU rRNA". It matches the Rfam family "Bacterial small subunit ribosomal RNA", at positions 929 to 1382 of the family's 1533-position model. Lineage: Bacteria; Pseudomonadati; Thermodesulfobacteriota; Desulfobaccia; Desulfobaccales; Desulfobaccaceae. The record is from RNAcentral.
GCGGUGGAGCAUGUGGUUUAAUUCGAAGCGAACGCGAAGAACCUUACCAGGUCCUUGACAUGCGUAGGAACCGGGUGAAAGCCUGGGUGCCCCGCGAGGGGAGCCCUAGCACAGGUGCUGCAUGGCCGUCGUCAGCUCGUGCCGUGAGGUGUUGGGUUAAGUCCCGCAACGAGCGCAACCCUUGUCUCUAGUUGCCACCAUUCAGUUGGGCACUCUAGAGAGACUGCCGGUGAUAAACCGGAGGAAGGUGGGGACGACGUCAAGUCCUCAUGGCCUUUAUGCCCAGGGCUACACACGUGCUACAAUGGAUCGUACAAAGGGUCGCGAACCCGCGAGGGGGAGCCAAUCCCAAAAACCGGUCCUCAGUUCGGAUUGGAGUCUGCAACUCGACUCCAUGAAGUUGGAAUCGCUAGUAAUCGUGGAUCAGCAUGCCACGGUGAAUACGUUCCCGGGCCUU